This 59-nucleotide ribosomal RNA is filed under the name Penicillium commune. Its description in RNAcentral is "partial 28S ribosomal RNA". It matches the Rfam family "Eukaryotic large subunit ribosomal RNA", at positions 1 to 58 of the family's 3401-position model. The record is from RNAcentral. Lineage: Eukaryota; Fungi; Ascomycota; Eurotiomycetes; Eurotiales; Aspergillaceae.
UUGACCUCGGAUCAGGUAGGGAUACCCGCUGAACUUAAGCAUAUCAAUAAGCGGAGGAU